UACGGGGGGGGCAAGCGUUGUUCGGAAUUACUGGGCGUAAAGGGUUCGUAGGUGGCCAACUAAGUCAGACGUGAAAUCCCUCAGCUUAACCGGGGAACUGCGUCUGAUACUGGAUGGCUUGAAUCCGGGAGAGGGAUGCGGAAUUCCUGGUGGAGCGGUGAAAUGCGCAGAUAUCAGGAGGAACACCCGUAGCGAAGGCGGCACUCUGGGCCGGAACUGACGCUGAGGAGCGAAAGCGUGGGGAGCGAACAGG
RNAcentral lists this ribosomal RNA (253 nucleotides) under uncultured bacterium. RNAcentral's name for it is "partial 16S ribosomal RNA". It matches the Rfam family "Bacterial small subunit ribosomal RNA", at positions 524 to 776 of the family's 1533-position model. The record is from RNAcentral.